This 354-nucleotide ribosomal RNA is filed under the name uncultured Sphingobacteriales bacterium. Its description in RNAcentral is "bacterial SSU rRNA". It matches the Rfam family "Bacterial small subunit ribosomal RNA", at positions 1029 to 1382 of the family's 1533-position model. The record is from RNAcentral. Lineage: Bacteria; Pseudomonadati; Bacteroidota; Sphingobacteriia; Sphingobacteriales.
UAUUACAAGGUGCUGCAUGGUUGUCGUCAGCUCGUGCCGUGAGGUGUCGGGUUAAGUCCCAUAACGAGCGCAACCCCUACCUUUAGUUGCCAUCAGGUUAAGCUGGGGACUCUAAAGGAACUGCCUACGCAAGUAGUGAGGAAGGCGGGGAUGACGUCAAAUCAGCACGGCCCUUACGUCCAGGGCUACACACGUGCUACAAUGGCCGAUACAGAGGGCAGCUACCUGGUGACAGGAUGCAAAUCUCCAAAGUCGGUCUCAGUUCGGAUCGGAGUCUGCAACCCGACUCCGUGAAGUUGGAUUCGCUAGUAAUCGCGCAUCAGCCAUGGCGCGGUGAAUACGUUCCCGGGCCUU